UUAGUAUUCUAGUGGGCAUGCCUGUUCGAGCGUCAUUUCAACCCUUAAGCCUAGCUUAGUAUUGGGAACUGGCUUUACUGCCAU
RNAcentral lists this ribosomal RNA (84 nucleotides) under Truncatella sp. ZW0901-2. RNAcentral describes it as "5.8S ribosomal RNA". Lineage: Eukaryota; Fungi; Ascomycota; Sordariomycetes; Amphisphaeriales; Sporocadaceae. The record is from RNAcentral.